GCCAGCCCGCUCAAGAAACUCAAAGGAAUUGGACGGGGCCCGCACAAGCGGAGGAGCAUGUGGUUUAAUUCGAUGAUACGCGAGGAACCUUACCUGGGCUCGAACGUAAGAUGACUGUAGGUGAAAGCUUACAUCUCUUCGGAGCAUUUUACGAGGUGCUGCAUGGUUGUCGUCAGCUCGUGCCGUGAGGUGUCGGGUUAAGUCCCAUAACGAGCGCAACCCCUACCUUUAGUUGCCAUCAGGUUAAGCUGGGGACUCUAAAGGAACUGCCUACGCAAGUAGUGAGGAAGGCGGGGAUGACGUCAAAUCAGCACGGCCCUUACGUCCAGGGCUACACACGUGCUACAAUGGCCGAUACAGAGGGCAGCUACCUGGUGACAGGAUGCAAAUCUCCAAAGUCGGUCUCAGUUCGGAUCGGAGUCUGCAACCCGACUCCGUGAAGUUGGAUUCGCUAGUAAUCGCGCAUCAGCCAUGGCGCGGUGAAUACGUUCCCGGGCCUU
Molecule: ribosomal RNA, 500 nt
Filed under: uncultured Sphingobacteriales bacterium
Lineage: Bacteria; Pseudomonadati; Bacteroidota; Sphingobacteriia; Sphingobacteriales
Description: bacterial SSU rRNA
Rfam family: Bacterial small subunit ribosomal RNA
Source: RNAcentral